RNAcentral lists this ribosomal RNA (467 nucleotides) under uncultured bacterium. RNAcentral describes it as "partial 16S ribosomal RNA". It matches the Rfam family "Bacterial small subunit ribosomal RNA", at positions 28 to 507 of the family's 1533-position model. The record is from RNAcentral.
GACGAACGCUGGCGGCGUGCUUAACACAUGCAAGUCGAACGGAAAGGCCUCUUUCGGGGGGUACUCGAGUGGCGAACGGGUGAGUAACACGUGAGUAACCUGCCCUUGACUUUGGGAUAACUUCAGGAAACUGGGGCUAAUACCGGAUAGGAGCUCCUGCUGCAUGGUGGGGGUUGGAAAGUUUCGGCGGUUGGGGAUGGACUCGCGGCUUAUCAGCUUGUUGGUGGGGUAGUGGCUUACCAAGGCUUUGACGGGUAGCCGGCCUGAGAGGGUGAACGGCCACAUUGGGACUGAGAUACGGCCCAGACUCCUACGGGAGGCAGCAGUGGGGAAGAUUGCACAAGGGGUGGAAGCCUGAUGCAGCAACGCCGUGUGCGGGAUGACGGCCUUCGGGUUGUAAACCGCUUUCGCUCAUGACGAAGCUUUGUGUGACGGUAGUGGGUAAAGAAGCACCGGCUAACUACGUG